Molecule: ribosomal RNA, 419 nt
Filed under: uncultured bacterium
Lineage: Bacteria
Description: bacterial SSU rRNA
Rfam family: Bacterial small subunit ribosomal RNA
Source: RNAcentral
UAAGGAAUAUUGGUCAAUGGACGCAAGUCUGAACCAGCCAUGCCGCGUGGAGGAUUAAGGCCCUCUGGGUUGUAAACUCCUUUUAUCUGGGAAGAAAUGUACUUUUUCUUGAGUACUUGACGGUACCAGAGGAAUAAGCACCGGCUAACUCCGUGCCAGCAGCCGCGGUAAUACGGAGGGUGCAAGCGUUAUCCGGAUUCACUGGGUUUAAAGGGUGCGUAGGUGGGCAGGUAAGUCAGUGGUGAAAUCUCCGGGCUUAACCCGGAAACUGCCGUUGAUACUAUUUGUCUUGAAUAUUGUGGAGGUAAGCGGAAUAUGUCAUGUAGCGGUGAAAUGCUUAGAUAUGACAUAGAACACCAAUUGCGAAGGCAGCUUACUACACAAUCAUUGACGCUGAGGCACGAAAGCGUGGGGAUCAA